GUUAUAGACGGGUUCCAUAACUCAGUUGGUUAGAGUGUGAUGCUAAUAACGUCAAAGUCGAGGGUUCGACCCCCUCUGGAACCACG
Molecule: transfer RNA, 86 nt
Filed under: Penicillium salamii
Lineage: Eukaryota; Fungi; Ascomycota; Eurotiomycetes; Eurotiales; Aspergillaceae
Description: tRNA-Ile
Rfam family: tRNA (bases 11-84)
About the family: Transfer RNA (tRNA) molecules are approximately 80 nucleotides in length.
Source: RNAcentral